AGUUCGCGGGUUGCUUCUUCCGUCCCGCAUCCCUUCUCAGUGUUCUGCCGCAGGUUGCGUCGUGCGCCGUGUUUUCCGCCAGUCCGUAGCUUCCGUUUUGAUUUACGUUGUUGUAAAUUCGAUUCUCAACGACUCGAGUUGCUCCAUAAUCAGCUGACUUGCGUCAUGACUUAUCGCUCGCGUGUUGCGUUCUACAACCAAAUGUUGUUUAUCUAUCGUCUCCUGUGAAUUUGGAUUGUCAAUUCGUGAAUGUGUUCAUCAAUGUUUCCGAUUAUAAUUCUUCCAAGUGAAUCGUUUCGUUUCUAAUCGGGUGUGUCAAUAAAAAGCAAUCAUGUUUUCGGGAAUUACAAAUCAGAUGAGCAAUUGGGUGGGAAGUGUGGCUAAGAAAUCAGAUUCUGAAGUGAAAGAAGAUGAAAAACCUACUUCACCCACCGCGGUCGCUGCCGCUGAAAAUAUCGAGAAUGUAGAGGCAGCCAAUCCAGAAGAAGCCAAGAAAGAAACCAGUCCGACGAAAGUGAACAGUAAACUAGAAAUGUUAGGGAACGUAAAGAGUCAAAUGUCGAGCUGGCUCGGCGGCGGGAUUCAGCUACCGAGUCUCCGGAAGACGGAAACAGAAGCCGCAGCCGAAGAAGGCGGCGCCGAGGCCAAGCAGAGCGCCGAGGCAGCAACCGACGAAAAGGCCAUCCGGGAGUCCAUGGAGAAGGACGAUGACAACUCCAGUGCUACUGGAGGAGCCGACAGCGAUGCUCAUUUGUCCGACCUUGAGGGCGAAGAAGAUAAAGAUGGAGCCUUUGGAGGUGGCGUUGUCGGUGCCAAAGCAGUGCAAGGCGCUAAGUCGAUAGGAAGCUUCCUUUUCUCUGCGGUUAACAAAGCGGGGAAAACUGUCAGUGAAGCAAGUGCCAAAAUAAAGAAAACGGUCGAAGAAAACAGUAUAUUGGGAGAAUUCAACAAGGAGCAGGAGUCCUUCAUCAAAGAGAAGGAGGGCAAAGGCAGCGACGGAGCAGCCGUUCCUCCCUGGGUCGGGUGCCCCAACGAAGAGAAUCUCAAACAGGAGUGUCUGUCCCUAUCCACGGAUCGCAGGAAUUUCGUGCGACCUCCUCCCGCUGGCGUGGACUUUGAAUUCGACUUUGAAUCUUUCUAUCCUGUCGCUCAGGCAAUAUUAGCUGUUGAUCCCGAACUUGAAAAAAUGAGAUUUGAACUUGUCCCCAAAGUAAUAAAUGAGGAAAACUUCUGGCGUAACUAUUUUUACCGUGUGAGUUUAAUUUGCCAAGCAAAUGAACUGUCAUCUAUGGCUCAAGAAGGCCAACAAAAUGCUGCCAACGCCUCUCAAGAUGCGGACGAACCCAAUGCAGCUUAAAGCAUUAUCCUAAAAAGACUUAAUUCCACCCUUAUUCCUUAGUUUACCCUUUAUUUUUAUUAUUUGUUCUGUUUCCUUGAUUUCAAGAAAUGUAUUGAUGAAAUUAUUUAGUAAAUGUUACAUUAAUUCAUGAUCCACAACACCUUUUGAAUUACAUUCCUGCUCUUGGGAAUCAUGUUCAUUUCUUCUUCUCUUGACUGAAUUAAACUAAACAGAACUGCCAUGCAGUCUACAUGAUUCUGUAGCCUCGCUGAAAAAUAAAAUAAUAAAAUUAAAUAAAUCCAGAAUCCAUCUGAAGACAUGAAAUGAUUUUUUGUGAUCUCUUUUUUAAUCUCAUUCUUUGGACAGAACACAAUUUUGCGUCAAAUUCUGAGAUGACGUCUGUCUCUUGUCCAAAAUAAUUAUUUUCAAAAUCAGCAGAAGCUGUACUUUUCCAAAAGAAACUGCAUGAUGUCUGUUUCUUUUUUAAAGAAUGACUUUCAAAAUCAGUUGGAGUCUUACUUUUCAAAAUACUCGCUCAGCCCUUUUGUGGAUUGAUCAUUGUUCAGAAUAUUGAAAUUUUUUAUCGCGUCAGUCUAUAAUUUAUCAUUUACUGUAUUGAUAUACUGAUGGCACAGGAGCUUUUGUCAGAAUCUAAUAUUGAUCUCUUGAUCAGUAAUUUUUAAAUAAAGCUUCUCAUUCGUACAGUUUAGAAUCACUCAUCAUUACACUGAUCUUGACAAAAAAAAAAAUAGUUCAUCUACCUGUCGUUUUUCUAUGGCUGUGUGGUAAUUUUAUACAUGCAAUACUGCUUAAGGAUGGAAGAUUGUCACAUGCAUCAAUAUGUGUAGAAAUUUUUCUCAUCAGAGCGAUUUUGCAACAUUCUAAAUUUAAAUCUAGUCUGUUUGUCUAACGUUGUCAGUUCUCCAUAAAUUAUUUUUAAAAUUCUUUGACUGAAGAUGGCAAUAAAGAUUAUUUCUGAUGUCUACACACACAUUUUAAUUAAACUUAAUUUUCUAAGUCUGAGACUUGCACUCCAGUAAAAGGAUAUUUUCUGUGUUUGAAGACGAUUGAAAACUGUUCUUACGUAACCAAAAAUCCUGACUCCAGCCUCUUUCAGAGUAACAGGAGUUGAUAUCAUGAAUAUUUUUAUCGAACCCUGUAGAAAAAUGUUACAUCUCAGCUGACUGCUGUUUGUUUGCCACCACUUAAAAUUUCGUACAUACUUACCACUGCAUGCAUAUAAAAAUGCAUUAUUUUAUAUUUGUCCUAUUUUUGGGUGCAAUUAUCAAGUCAAUCCCCAAUCGUCUUAGAACUCACCUGAUGAGAUAUAUGGAGUUUAUAAAAAUGAAAAAUAAUAUGCCAAGUUAAUUUAACGACUGAUACUUUACAGAACUAUCUCAGUAACGACUAAUGCAACUUGUUCUAAUUUGCACCCGAAAGUUGAGCUCAUCCUUCCAUACUGAACUUGAUUUUAUACUCAUAUACCAACAUUAAAUUUUAGAUUCAAUCCCUAAUUUCAUCGCAAGUCUUUGCAAUAAUGCGUGCAUUGAAAUUAUUUUAUUUUUAAUUGCUCUAACGUUUCUAACAAGUGGAAAUUCCUUUAAUUUUCAAAAGAAGGUGUCCUUUCACCUUUGUCACGUCAUUUCAUCAAUUCAAUUAUGAUUUCUAGAUUGGUAGUUGUACAUUUAUGUUCCACUUUUACAGUGGAAUUGUGUUAUUAUUUUUAUUUUGUUCUAUUUUCUUUUUUCUUUGUUUUUUUUCUCAACCUCCCUUCCUCUUUCUCCUUCCCUCAUCACUUAUAAUUUUUCCCUUUUAACCCUCUCAAUCCUUGGUCCUUAACAUAAACAAACAGAAGAGGAAUGGGAGAAGGAGCUUGAAGCCGAGUUGCAAGAAUAUGAAGUUGUGUCAGAACAGCAAAAACAGAACACUGCCAUUCCAUCCAAGUGGGAAUCACAGAUUGAAGACAUGCUGGAAUCUGAGUCCCGUGAUUUAAAAUAAGAGAUGCACCGGAUUCCUAUGGAAGGAGUAAAAAGUGUUCCUCUUUGGGAAAUAGCACAGGGAAUAACGAAAGUCUCAAUCUAAAAGGUACCAUGCUGCAACAAUAAAAUCUCACCGUCUACUUACUUAUUACAAAUAUCAUCAUUUUCUAUUUGUUUAAUUACGUGAGGAUCACCCCGGUGAGUUAAUUUAGUAAUUAAAGAAAAAUAUUCUAAUGAACUUUUAUAAUAUAUUUAUGUUUUCUAUUUUAUUUGUUGUUAUUGUUGUGAAAACAAUUUAUUUUGUUUUAAGUGAGUCCUAAGUACACACACUGUUAAAGAGAAGGUUUAAGGUAGGUACUUACCUCUUCAGCUGUAAUACCUUUCAAUAUUAUUUGUCUCAUGCAGUCAUAUCUCAAAAUAUCCUUCUCACUGUAAAAUAAUUAGCUAGAACUUGUGAUUAGAGUGUCAUUUUACAAAGAGGCAGUCAGCAUACUUUUUAAAAUUUAUAAAACCCCUAAAUAUUUACUCUCUCAUUCUGAAAUGAAAAAGCAUUUGAAACUUGAUUGCUCUGAAGCCACCACUUAUGUAAUUUACCUAUCAAAACCUUGUAGUCAGUUAAAUCAUUGAAUUUAUUUCUCACCUCAGAAACUUCCUAUUAACUCUCAAGUCAAAUGAUUUUUGCUGUUCAAUCUUGGCUUUUGACCUCCUGUAAAUAAAGUAAAGUAAGUUGGUAGAGUAGGUACCUACAUUAUAAUAUUAAACUCGAUUAUCAUAUUAAAUUGUGUACUUACAUUAUGCAUUGCAUGGAGUGUCUCAAAAUUAUACCCUGAAGUGUGUAAUUUUGGAAGUAAUGGAAGAAUAAAUAUCACUCAUAUUGAAGCAUUCAUAAGCAUAUUACUGAUGCUUUUCAUGCAUGAUCACAGCAGGGAUCGAAUAUUUUUCUCAAUUGUCUGUUAAUUCCUCCGUGAAUACUGUCAAAUGGGGUUACCUGGGAAAUUAGUUUAUUUGGAACAAAAAUGGGAAUUUGGGCGUCGGUGGCCAUGGUAGCAUUGUAAUUUUAGAUUGUUCCUCAGCGUCGUAAUCUCUAUCCACAUUGUUUUGGUAUGAGAUUUAGGUAUUAUGCAGAGUCUUGAAAAGGAAACAAAAGCAUUUGUCUCUUCAUCUUUUUUCUCAAAAUCGCUUGACUCUCAUCAGUAUCUUAAGUUACCGUGUAAGUCCUUAUUCACCCCUAUGUUCGGGGUCAUUGAAAUAACCAAAA
This is a non-coding RNA of Bemisia tabaci, 4576 nucleotides long. The record is from RefSeq and is a predicted model, not a curated record. NCBI's taxonomy places the organism in Eukaryota, Metazoa, Arthropoda, Insecta, Hemiptera, Aleyrodidae.